RNAcentral lists this ribosomal RNA (303 nucleotides) under uncultured bacterium. Its description in RNAcentral is "partial 16S ribosomal RNA". It matches the Rfam family "Bacterial small subunit ribosomal RNA", at positions 507 to 807 of the family's 1533-position model. The record is from RNAcentral.
AGCAGUCGCCACGGGAAUACGUAGGGUGCAAGCGUUAAUCGGAAUUACUGGGCGUAAAGCGUGCGCAGGCGGUGUUGUAAGACUGAUGUGAAAUCCCCGGGCUCAACCUGGGAACUGCAUUGGUGACUGCAACGCUGGAGUGCGGCAGAGGGGGAUGGAAUUCCGCGUGUAGCAGUGAAAUGCGUAGAUAUGCGGAGGAACACCGAUGGCGAAGGCAAUCCCCUGGGCCUGCACUGACGCUCAUGCACGAAAGCGUGGGGAGCAAACAGGAUUAGAUACCCCCGUAGUCCCUGUCUCUUAUAC